GAAUCUUUCGUACUUAUGGCUGUCGAAAAAAACUCGCUAGGGAGCUCUCGCCCUUUCUAAGCGGCUCCCCUUCGUCUUCGGCCAACCGACCGGAGGUUACCGAGAUGUCUGCCGACGCCCCUCCCACCCCCGGCGGGAUCGAUCUCGGCCAAGCCCACCUCCACGAUCGCUUUCCUUCUCCCUCCUCCCUUCGCCUCAAAGAAGCCCUCAAUUCCUGCUCCCAGUCCUUCGAAACUGGCGAUUUUGGCAAGUCCGACACGGCCGUCACUGCCGUAGUCGACCUCCUUAAUUCCAUCGUCGAGCCUCCGCUGUCCGAUUGGGAGAAUGCCACUCCUUGCAAGAGAGCCUCGGAGGAGGCACUUGUCGAGAUCCAGAGCUAUCUCUCAUCCCCUUCUUCGAAUCAGAUGGCUGUUGAUGCACUCUCUCUCGAGCUGCCGAAAGUGGUGGCAAAGUUUGCAGCUUUGUCGGAUAGGUGUCGGGAGAUCGCGGAAAGCAUUAUCGACUUCCUCGUGUCCAGCUGUAGCCCACGCGACAUGCUUUCGAUUCUUUGUGAGGCAAUAGAUGCCCAUAUCAGAGAGUCACAAGAACAGACUUAUUUUAUUCUUCUCUUGAGCAGGCUCUCGAAAGUGUUAGAUCACACUCAGAGGCGUCAUGUUGAGCAAGUAAAGGUGGCGAUCCCUGUUAUUUUGAAAGUUUUGAAUGCGAUCUCAUCAGUGUCUAAUGAUGAAGAUAAAGAUUCCCUCAAUGAUUUGUUUGGUGCAGCGAUAAGCAUAGGCACAUCCAUUCAAGCAAUUUGUGAAAAAAUGGUGGGAACUAGACAGGAAGAACUUUGUGCUAUACUUGGUCUUUAUGUCCUACAAAACAUGGCUCUUAUAUCCAAAAGUAUACAAUCACAUGUUGUUUCAAGCUGCCGUUCGCUUGUUUUACAAUUUUCCAAGUUCCUCCCAUUUUGUGAGCUCUCCUAUUUUGGCCUGAUAACUGGAUGUGAUGUGGCUUCAAUUACUGAUGAGGUCUCUAAAGAGGAUGGCGAUGACUUCAUGGCCUGCUUUUCCUUUGUCAUGAGUGGAGCAACUCUUGCAGUGAUUUGGGGCCAUAUCUCUGAUGAAAUUGCAAAAGCUGCUGGAGAACAGUUAAUUUCUGUCCUGAACAAAAUCCGAAAUGAUCGUACUGUAAGGUGGCAAGCUAUUGGGAUGUUCAAAUAUAUACUCUCCUCCAUUGAUUAUCCCUGGGAAAUAAAAUCUCACAGUGUAGAGUUACUGUUGUGUAUGAUGGAAGGAAUUAAUUCAGAAGAGUCCAGUGAUAACCAUACGGAUUUCUCUUGCUUUAUGCCCAGUCUUUUUUCUUCUCUCCAGGCUGUUGAAAGAAUAAUGAUUGGCGCUUCAGAUGCUUCAUUACGGAAGAAAGCUUAUUCUGCAUUAAGAAAAGUAGUCUCAGAUAUCCCAUCUUCUCACCGAUUUGACAUUUUAAGGGCUCUUAUUACAAAUAGCAACUCGCCUUCCAUGAUUGCAAUUCUUAUUGAUCUUGUGAAGGAGGAAAUUCUCAAGGAAGUUCAUCAAAGUGACAUGUCUGAAGAUAAUAAAAUCAUUCACAUACAAAAUACAAAUGCAGGUUCUCCAUUUUGGAGCUCUCAUGCCCUUGACAUAGUGGAGCUGAUGCUGAAGCCUCCUAAAGGGGGUCCUCCUCCCCUCCCUGAGCAUAGUGAGCCGUUCUUAACUUAGGCCUCUCUAUCGAAGGUUCUCCAUUCUGAAGGGAUAAUGAUGAGUUCUUCGAUUCGCUAGAAGCCAUGGGCCUACACAGAUAAUAAAACUUCUCCCAGGUACUCGCUGCUCUCAACUUGUUCAGGUUUAUUUUGAUAACAGAAUCUACAGGAAAAACAAACCACACUGGUAUCCUCUCAGCAAAUACGUUGCAUAAAGCUUAUUCAGAGUGGCUCCUACCUCUACGAACAUUGGUCACAGGAAUUCGAGCAGAAAAUGAGAAAGAUGACAGUGAGAUUGCGGAUCACAUUCUUUGUGCUUUAAAUCCUGUUCAGCUGGUAUUAUAUCGUUGUAUUGAAUUGGUUGAAGACAAGCUGAAACAUUCUGCAUAGGUUUAAUUUAUAUAAAGAUCUACGGACUUGUUUCCAGUUUUGUCACCUUUACAUUUCGUGCUUAUUGUCAGUAACAAACACCAAAAUCUUUACACCUCUCUGUACCAUUAAACAAAAUCUUUUAGCAUACAAUAGAUUUUGACAUUAGAUUUCUAUUCA
Elaeis guineensis (African oil palm) is the source of this 2248-nucleotide RNA transcript. It is a transcript of the gene named aberrant root formation protein 4, with no coding region annotated. Lineage: Eukaryota; Viridiplantae; Streptophyta; Magnoliopsida; Arecales; Arecaceae. The record is from RefSeq and is a predicted model, not a curated record.